UAACGCGUGGAUAACCUGCCUCACACAGGGGAGUAACAGUUAGAAAUGACUGCUAAUACCGCAUAAGCGCACGGCAUCGCAUGAUGCAGUGUGAAAAACUCCGGUGGUGUGAGAUGGAUCCGCGUCUGAUUAGGUAGUUGGUGGGGUAACGGCCCACCAAGCCGACGAUCAGUAGCCGACCUGAGAGGGUGACCGGCCACAUUGGGACUGAGACACGGCCCAA
Molecule: ribosomal RNA, 223 nt
Filed under: uncultured bacterium
Lineage: Bacteria
Description: partial 16S ribosomal RNA
Rfam family: Bacterial small subunit ribosomal RNA
Source: RNAcentral